AUAGCCUGGUGGAUUAUGAAGGGGAAAAUUUCUAUCAGACCUGAUAAAGUGCCUGCUUGGUAUUCAGCAGUAAAAUUUCUCCUGGAAUAUCAAGCCAAUGCAAUAAGUCUCUCAUCCUGACUUGUGUUGAACAGAAUCUCUCUUACAGGGUGUUGAUUUGUAGGCUUGAUGCUACUCUGAAAGAGGGAGAGCUGCCUGUAAACAAUGGUGGGAUUUAAGAGCGACAGUGUAUGACUGAGCACUUCUCUUAAUCCAGUUAAUGGACAAAAAGAGAAGCCUGUAUUAUGUAUUUAAAGGCCUGUUGAGCAGUGUUUUUCUGUUACAGCACACUCUUGUCAUAUCGUUAUGAGCUGAUGUGAGGAGUGUAGCACUGUAUUGACAUCUAGAAGGCGCUAUGACAGAGAGGAGGAACUGACAAGAGGGACACAGAAGGGUGAGGUGCAUGCUUCGCCCCCAUCUGUCUCAGCCUGGUUUCCAGGGCACAUUCUUGUGCUGAUGUGCUGUGCCGCUCAAAGCACAUCAGUGGAGUCCGGAGUGGGGAUGGCACAGCUCGGCUGGGUGAAACCAAACCAGCUGCCGCUACGGAGCUCCAGACAGAAGCAGGAAAGAGGGGGACACAUGUGCAGUUUUAGGCCCAGGUGUCAUAUUUAGACUUUUCGAAUGAGAUUGAAUUGUCAGACAAAUUGAAUUCUAAUUCAUUCAUUGAUUCCAUGCGGACGUCAGCAGCCAUUUUCUGUGUCCAGCGUAGAAAUGGAGGCUGGUUGCUGUGCAGUGGGAGGAACAUUACAUCUGAAGUAAACUGCAAAUAGAGCGAGGAUUACAGCCUUGGUCUUAGAAUAGCACACUCUGCCAGUCUGAACUCAAUUUUCACUCCAUUUAAAGUCUGAUGGCUCUCAGAUAAAGUCUUUACAGCAUGGGGUGCUGCAGGUCAGAGUGGGGACGCCUGUCCACCUGCCGCUAUGAACCUCACACUGACGCAGUAACAUGCCAUGUAGCAUAGGUCAACCCUCUGAGAAAUUCACCUCAUGAGGAUAUCCUUGUCUGUACUCGUUGGUUAGCUAUAUUGGAUCAGUGAUCCUGGCCAAAUUGAUGGUUACUAAUAACUCCUUUACCACAGGUUAAAUUCACCAGAAACACAAGCACUGAACCCAUAUACUAUACACCAACAGAAACCCGAGCUGAAAAAUGCUAUUAUACCUGAACAUAUCUCAUCUGACAAGGAUAUCCUCACCAGUUUCGUCAGUUUGUGUGACUAAUUUGUUUUUUAAAGAGAACUAAAUUCACCAUGAAUUCUA
This is a long non-coding RNA of Alosa sapidissima (American shad), 1295 nucleotides long. RefSeq lists it as uncharacterized. NCBI's taxonomy places the organism in Eukaryota, Metazoa, Chordata, Actinopteri, Clupeiformes, Clupeidae. The record is from RefSeq and is a predicted model, not a curated record. The transcript has 4 exons.